CCUGGCAAUCUGCCUGCAGCCUCACAGGCUGGGAAAGCUUGCUGACCAGGGCACCUCAGGACCCGACCCCACGACUGUGUUUGUUGAUAUGAGAGCGCUGCG
Molecule: long non-coding RNA, 102 nt
Organism: Larimichthys crocea (large yellow croaker)
Lineage: Eukaryota; Metazoa; Chordata; Actinopteri; Sciaenidae
Exons: 3
Source: RefSeq, a predicted model, not a curated record